Non-coding RNA from Strongylocentrotus purpuratus (purple sea urchin), 73 nucleotides. NCBI's taxonomy places the organism in Eukaryota, Metazoa, Echinodermata, Echinoidea, Camarodonta, Strongylocentrotidae. The record is from Rfam.
GCCUCCGUGGCCUAAUGGAUAAGGCAUCGGUCUCCUAAACCGGGGAUUGUGGGUUCGAGUCCCACCGGAGGUG